AAUAAGUCUUGGCUAACUACGUGCCAGCAGCCGCGGUAAUACGUAGGAGGCAAACGUUAUUCGGAUUUACUGGGCGUAAAGCGGGUGUAGAUGGCUUUUUAAGUCAGUUGUAAAAUCUCCUGACUCAAUCAGGAGGGGUCAAUUGAUACUGAAAAGCUGGAGGACAGCAGAAGAAAGUGGAAUUCCCGGUGUAGCGGUGACAUGCGUAGAUAUCGGGAGGAACACCAGUGGCGAAGGCGGCUUUCUAGGCUGUUCCUGACAUUGAUGCCCAAAAGCGUGGGGAGCGAAACGUAUUAGAUACACGUGUAGUCCACGCCCUAAACUUUGGAUACUAGGUAUGGUGAGUAUCGACCCUCUUCGUGCCGAAGCUAACGCU
This 376-nucleotide ribosomal RNA is filed under the name uncultured bacterium. RNAcentral describes it as "bacterial SSU rRNA". It matches the Rfam family "Bacterial small subunit ribosomal RNA", at positions 485 to 859 of the family's 1533-position model. The record is from RNAcentral.